RNAcentral lists this long non-coding RNA (1242 nucleotides) under Stegodyphus dumicola. RNAcentral's name for it is "uncharacterized LOC118204725". Lineage: Eukaryota; Metazoa; Arthropoda; Arachnida; Araneae; Eresidae. The record is from RNAcentral.
AUUUGAGUCACAUUCGAUGAGCAUGGCUCCGAAAAGUAAGGCCGCUAUGAAUCAUCGAUGAUGUACAUGGCAGUCAAUGUGUUAAAGUGCAUGUAAAAACUCAAUUACUAAAAUAAAAUAAUUUUUUAGCUAAUCGUGCAUAGUUUAAUAUCUGUACAGCUUAAAAAGAACUGUGUAAACUGUUUCAUUUGACUUAUGAAUAAUUUAAUGGGCAGUUUUUUUAUUACGCACAUCGGUGCUACAUAAACUGCCAUAAAAAAUCAGCUAGAAUAAGCUAAUGUUUGGUCUUCAUGACAGCUGGACGUGCUAGUCAUGAGAACAGGCAAAGGCCAAAUGCGAUAAUUCUUUAUAUCAUGACCUGCAUUCUCAAAUAUAAUUUUUUAAAACUGUUUUCGAUAAUUCGAAUAAUGUUAUAUACCAAGUUCGCAAUGCCAAAAAUGAAAAAAGUGGCAAGCAUAUUAAAAAAAUGUAUUUAAAUUAUAGCGAUUUAAAAAUCUGGUUAACUGAUAAAUGUACGAAUUAUUUAAAAUUUAUAAAAAGUAUUGUCAGUCUGUUAUUGAACAGUUACAUUAUUUAUUAUAUUUGUGAGACGAAAAUGCAUAGUUUCUAGAGAUUCUUAGAUUCAAUAACGGUAACUGUUAAAAGUUAGCUUUAAAAAAAAAAUGUGGAUAUUGUCUUUAAAUAUGAUUAAAAAAAUGGCAUAACAUUUGCAUCAUAUUCAAAUAUCCCACGAAAUAAUUUUAAAAAAGUUUCCCUUUAUUUAAUUAACAGGGCAUAACAUGAAAUCAUUCACAAAUAUUCAAACGUGAUGAAAUCGUUCAUCACCUUAUUUGUGACGGAAUAAAACAAAAUGCAGUAAACUCUCUAGUUGCGUCCAUCUCUGAAAAGAACAAAAUAUUUCUAAGACUAAUAUCGGUACUGAAAAUCACUUUCGCACAAGAUCGAAAUCAUAUGGAACCUUGAGAAGUAGAGAGGAUCACCUCAAAAACAGUAUUGUCAGUGUAUGGUGUCUAAAACACAGGACUAGUCACCUGGUGAAGUACAGGUGACAUAAUUUUUAGAAUUCAGGAAGUUACUUGAUGGCAAAAUCUUGAAGAUAUAUAGAUUACAUUGGGAAGCCAGUCAGAACGUUCUCUUCCUUUUUUAAACCUCUUGCUACUGAACAAGGACCAAAAUUCUUAUGCAUAUAUGACAUGUUCUUGUAUUGCCUUCUUUAUAGAUCUUAAUAAAUUUUAAAACAAA